This 69-nucleotide transfer RNA is filed under the name Ictidomys tridecemlineatus (thirteen-lined ground squirrel). RNAcentral's name for it is "Spermophilus tridecemlineatus (thirteen-lined ground squirrel) tRNA". It matches the Rfam family "tRNA". Rfam says of the family: Transfer RNA (tRNA) molecules are approximately 80 nucleotides in length. Their secondary structure includes four short double-helical elements and three loops (D, anti-codon, and T loops). Lineage: Eukaryota; Metazoa; Chordata; Mammalia; Rodentia; Sciuridae. The record is from Rfam by way of RNAcentral.
GGGGUUGUGGCUCAGUGGUAGAGCACUUGCCUAGCACACAUGAGAUACUGGGUUCGAACCUCAACACCA